This 469-nucleotide ribosomal RNA is filed under the name uncultured bacterium. RNAcentral's name for it is "partial 16S ribosomal RNA". It matches the Rfam family "Bacterial small subunit ribosomal RNA", at positions 28 to 507 of the family's 1533-position model. The record is from RNAcentral.
AACGAACGUUGGCGGCGUGGAUUAGGCAUGCAAGUCGAACGCGAAUCCCUGGGCAACUGGGGUGGAGAGUGGCGAAAGGGGCAGUAAGGCGUGGGUAACCUACCCUCCGGGCCGGGAUAGCUUCGGGAAACUGAAGGUAAUACCGGGCGACGCAGCGAGAUCGCAUGGUCUUGCUGCCAAAGGUCCGCCGCCGGGGGAGGGGCUCACGUGGUAUUAGCUAGACGGCGGGGUAACGGCCCACCGUGGCAAAGAUGCCUAGCAGGUGUGAGAGCACGACCUGGGCCACUGGAACUGAGACACUGGCCAGACACCUACGGGGGGCUGCAGGGGAGGAUCUUCGGCAAUGGGCGCAAGCCUGACCGAGCGACGCCGCGUGUGCGAUGAAGGCCUUCGGGUUGUAAAGCACUGUCGAGGGGGAGGAAGCCGCAAGGUUGACCUAUCCAUGGAGGAAGCACGGGCUAAGUUCGUG